RNAcentral lists this long non-coding RNA (1930 nucleotides) under Elaeis guineensis (African oil palm). Its description in RNAcentral is "long non-coding RNA (EGUI_LNC013773)". The record is from RNAcentral. Lineage: Eukaryota; Viridiplantae; Streptophyta; Magnoliopsida; Arecales; Arecaceae.
GCCAGAGCGAAUUUAGGCACCAAAACCGCGGCCAGAAGCUCCCUGUUCUGGUCUCUGUAGGUUCGCGUUGGAAAUGGUUGAUCUCUUUUAGCAGAAAAAAGGCAAGCAACCAAGCAAGCAGGUGGCCCCAUGGCCCCCAUCCCAUCUGAUCUGGGGAACACAAGACCCUCGUCUAGUGCAGGGGGGGACGGUGGUCCAUCGCGUGGAAGGGUCCCUCCCUCGGCGGGAGAUUCAAAAGCUCCUUGUACGGUAAAGCCCAAAUCAAUGGCUUUGGCCUUUUAUUUUUUUUAUUAGAAAUUUCAUAAGAUUUUGCUUUUCGAAUUUUAAAAUAGGAAUUAAAAAAAAAUAGGUAAUUGGAAUAGGAGGAUCUCAAAGCUAUGACCGGCCGGAGGCGGACCGGAAAGCUCUUCCCCCAUUAGCCUUUUGAUGAAAUUAGUAUAUAUUUUAAUUAAUUCCUUAAAUCCGUGAAUAUUUUUUUAUUACUAUAUAUGUUUAUUCCGUCUACAGGCUUUCCCGCCUUUUCUUUAUCCCACUUCCACCCGUGCUGUCCUCUUCGGCAGGCGAGCAGGUCACGUUGCCCCACCCCCUGCACACCUUUUUCUAUUUCCUAUUUAUUUUAUUUUCUCUCACAUAUAUUGUAAGUAUAAAAUACUUUCUCGGUUUUUGGCGGGAUGGAUGAUUAAACCGGAUUUAAUGGCACGGAGUGGCGUCCGGGAGACUGGGAGCGACAGCUGCCGUUAAGUUGCCGACAGAAAGCGACGGUCGUCGACACAGACGGAGGAAAGCGGACGUUUUUUGCGUCUUACGGGAGAGCGAUCAGCUAGUGGUCUUGGCACUUGGCAGCGUCGGUGGGGAACCGGAUGCCGGAGACCCAGGCGGAGGGCAUCUUUGGUCUCCGGCGUCCGGUUCCCAGGCGGCGCUGCCAAGGGCGGCGUUUUUUUUUUUUUUUUGCUUUUUAAUGAAGAACGGCGACCUAACGGAGGAAGGCGGACGUACCAGCUUCUCCACAACCGCCACAGCAGCACCGCCAUGGAUUCAGAUUUCGAUUUUCGUGAACGAGUACAACGGUGAGUUCACCCGGGGAUGAGAUUUUGCGGACAAUCCGUUGCAACGGAACGGGGCCUUCCGGAAUCCUAGGAUUCUGGUGGGUAUGGUACUGUGUUUAAUUAAUUGGAGUUCAGUGGUGAGACAUGUCCACCUGUCAUGCACGACAUUCCGUACCGACGUGGCGGUUUCAGAUCUUUUUCGCGCCGGAAACCGGAUUCUAAUUUCCCCCCUACACGUCAAUGACGUGUCUGGGCCUUUUUAUACGAACAAAUAAUAAUGGCCUUUUUAUACGAACAGAUCUUUUUAUUUGUAGUGAUAUAUUUUCCACUCCCAGUUUGUUGAUCUAACUGCUGAUUAACGAAUUAAUUAGAGAAGAAUGGACGGUAGUUUAAGCAACCGGAGGAGAAAAUAGCAAGCCAGUGGCAUCUUUUGUCGUUGGCUGGUUAAUUUUUCAGCUCUUUCUGGACACGGACCUCUUAUCAAAAUUUAAAAUCUUUAUUAGUAGUUGAAAUCAUUUCACGUUUUUUAUUGUAAAUUAUUAUAGUGGAAAGACGAUCUCGUCCUUGCCAUCAUGAUUUAUGACGCUCAAGAACAAAGGGCAGAUACGUCAAGUUGCCAAAGCGUAUAUAAUUAUUAAGAAUUAACAAAGGGAAGGAGGUAGGGUUGCGUGGAAACGCGACGGAUGGCAGAUAGCAGAGGGAGCGGAAAUAGGUGCUUGCUAGGGUUUCGCUUUUCUACCUUUCCUCUUUUUUUGGUUUCUUAACCCAUAAUAAUUCGCCAUAUUCUCUUUAUAACAGGGAACACUUAGCCCACUACUCAAAUUGCUACCGUCGAUCGACAUCCCUUCUCCGCUUCACCUCGCUCUCUCUCUCUCUCUCUCUCU